This 139-nucleotide non-coding RNA is filed under the name bovine gut metagenome. RNAcentral describes it as "FMN riboswitch (RFN element)". It matches the Rfam family "FMN riboswitch aptamer (RFN element)". From Rfam's summary of the family: The RFN element is a highly conserved domain that is found frequently in the 5'-untranslated regions of prokaryotic mRNAs that encode for flavin mononucleotide (FMN) biosynthesis and transport proteins. This element is a metabolite-dependent riboswitch that directly binds FMN in the absence of proteins. In Bacillus subtilis, the riboswitch most likely controls gene expression by causing premature transcription termination within the 5' untranslated region of the ribDEAHT operon and precluding access to the ribosome-binding site of ypaA mRNA. The record is from RNAcentral.
ACUUUCGGGGCGGGGUGAAAUUCCCCACCGACGGUGAAAGCCCGUGAGCGUCUGAUACACUCCUUUGAAAAUGGUAUUCGUUUGGCGCUGAUUCGGUGAAAUUCCGAAGCCGACGGUAAAGUCCGGAUGAAAGAAAGUG